UUCCUCGUGUUUUAUUGUGCUGGUUUCUGGUUCACUCGUGUUCUCUUCUCUCUCUUCUUUUACAAACUCCAUCUUCACAGCAGCAGAUCUCAGUUCAGAUGAUAAACUCCUCCAGAUAUUCCUGCUCGCUUCAAAACUCAGUCACGACUGUGAGGACGAGAUUAUUACAGACUGUGAGCCCUACAACCUACUGCCACCUGAAUGCUACUGUGCCAAUGCUUCGACUAUACUUUGAAGAUGGAUCUGACCAUCACCUCAGCCUCCGGCUUUCACGACAGUCCAUCAUGUCCAUCAUCGCUGCUUUGAAGUCAGACUCUGACCAUGGCUGGGAAAAGGAUAUUGAGGUGCUGGUGUUCCUGUACUGGCUGGCUCAUGCAGCAUCAUAUCGGGUUGUAUCUCUGGCCUUCGACAUCCCAAGGGCCACAGUGCAUGACAUUGUGCACAGAAUCAGCAGGGAAGUCGUCAGUAUUUUGUAUUCCCGACCCUGGACGACCUGGAGGAAGUGGGGGCAGGUUUUUGCUCAACUGGCUGGGUCUUCAGCUUUUUGCAUGGUGGCUGGUGCAAUAGACGGAUUCCACAUCCGGAUCAAGCCACCAGCAAGUGAAGCCCCAUGCUACUUCAACUGAAAGCUGUUCCACUCAGUCCAGCUGCAGUUCUUCACUGACCACAAGGGGAAGUUCAUCGACAUCUUUGUCAGCUCGAGCUCGAGGCCGUGGGGAAGCAGAUUCGCGACCUGGAGGUAAGGCAGGCCCAGCUGAGAGAGUGGAGAGCCGCGCUGGAAUCAUCCCGGGCUGACACUCACAAGUCCAGUGUAAGUAUACAGCAUGCUGUUAACAGUCAAACCACGUCUACUCCGUGUGUUUCUCUGCACAGGCCCGGUGCACACAGGACGCGUUCUUCCCAGAUGUCCUUCACUGCGACGCCGGGACACCACGGACCCUGGGUGCAUCCACAGCGGAGGACGCGAGUCGGGCCCCGGGCGACGACUUCUCCGCCUCCUGCCUUUGAGAUCUCCAUCCGGAACCGCUCUGCUCCCCUCCACGAGACAGGAUGCGACGCUGUGAUCAUCGGAGACUCCAUCGUCCGACACGUAAGUGCUACGUUAGCCGAAAGUAAAGUGUUCUCAAUGUUUCUGCGCAGAUACCCGUGAUCCUGAAGGACGACGAGAGCCCCAGAGC
Carassius auratus (goldfish) is the source of this 1178-nucleotide long non-coding RNA. RefSeq lists it as uncharacterized. The record is from RefSeq and is a predicted model, not a curated record. The transcript has 3 exons. NCBI's taxonomy places the organism in Eukaryota, Metazoa, Chordata, Actinopteri, Cypriniformes, Cyprinidae.